UCUGACGACCAUAGCGGCCCGGAACCACCUGAUCCCAUCCCGAACUCAGAAGUGAAACAGGCCUGCGCCGAUGGUAGUUUGGCAUUGCCCAUGCGAGAGUAGGUCAUCGUCAGAC
This 115-nucleotide ribosomal RNA is filed under the name Marinobacter suaedae. Lineage: Bacteria; Pseudomonadati; Pseudomonadota; Gammaproteobacteria; Pseudomonadales; Marinobacteraceae. The record is from RNAcentral.